AUGCCGAGAUCCGGCGUAGCGUUGGGUGUAAUCGAUGUUUGGUUGAUGAUAAUUAGAUCGAUGUCACCCAAGAGAUAUUCAGUCAAUGAUGUUGAUUAGAUGCUUCUCACCUGAGACUAAAACUAUGAUGAAGCAAACGUCUGCCCGAAUAUAAGCAAGGCUAUGAUGGCAAGAUCUGCCGUGUUGUUGCAACAUGCCCUAAUCGUUGCCGGCUGCCGUUCGCGGCUGUUCUAGGUAGCGUUGGGUGUAAUCGAUGUUUAGUUGAUGAUAAUUAGAUCGAUGUCACCUAAGGGAUAUUCAGUCAAUGAUGUUGAUGAGAUGCUUCUCACCUAAGUCUAAAACUAUGAUGAAGGAAACGUCUGCCCGAAUAUACGCGAGGGAUCGUGUAUAAUUGUUGUUACAUUUAUACAAGAAAAUGGAGUUUGGUUGGCCUGAGAUGCCUAUUUAGUUGUAUGUGAUGACGCUGGUGUUUGUGUGGCCAGUUUACUGUGAAUUUGGUUGAAUCAUCGUUUGUAAAUUGGUUCGUGUGGCCAUUGAUAUAAAGUGACUGUGAAGAUGUUAAGGUUGAAGCAACUGUCUCCUACAGAUCAGGUGGUUACUCUCAAUUCUCGAUUGUUGUUCAAUCAGAAAGAUAAG
This 636-nucleotide long non-coding RNA is filed under the name Helianthus annuus (common sunflower). Lineage: Eukaryota; Viridiplantae; Streptophyta; Magnoliopsida; Asterales; Asteraceae. The record is from RNAcentral.